GGGCCAUUAGCUCAGCUGGUAGAGCAGGAGACUCUUAAUCUCAAGGUCGUAGGUUCGAGCCCUACAUGGCCCA
Molecule: transfer RNA, 73 nt
Filed under: Solirubrobacterales bacterium
Lineage: Bacteria; Bacillati; Actinomycetota; Thermoleophilia; Solirubrobacterales
Also listed under: 1 other name
Description: tRNA-Lys
Rfam family: tRNA
About the family: Transfer RNA (tRNA) molecules are approximately 80 nucleotides in length. Their secondary structure includes four short double-helical elements and three loops (D, anti-codon, and T loops).
Source: RNAcentral